AGCAGGAUCAUUCAUGAUGUUGAUGCAUUUCGACAACGUGAGUUGAUACAAAAACAACUAUUCGACGUAGAUUGCUUCGCGAGUGUGUGUUGUGUGUGUUCACGCACGCACACCCUGGCAAGCUCUGCGCUCGCAAUGACUGACCCUUGCCAUGGUGGAAGGAUUAGUGGGUCUCGAUCUUUUUUGAGAGCUGCGACAUCUCUCCAUCUGGCACAGGGCGGUUGUUUUGAGGCUUUACCCCACGCUCCUCUCUAUUGAUGAGGGCGAUACCCUCGAAACAGCCGCUAGACAACGCUCAACGAUGGAUAUCUCGGCUUGGUGAUCGAUGAAGGACGCAGCGAAGUGCGAAAAGUGUCAUGACUUGCAGAGUCUUUUUGAGCUGACAAAUCUCUGAAUGCAAAUUGCAUCUAGCGCAAGAUCUAGAUAUAUAUUGUAGAGUGUAGAUGCUCCAGCACAUCAUCACUCAUAUCAAUUUAGAGAUUCACGUCUCUGUUGGUAUCGAGUGGACCUGCGUUUGUGGCGUUAAGUGCUACGAAUCGUCAAAUCAGAAGACGACGCCGUGUCUACCCUUCACGGGGUAGAUCACUGCGCACAUCGUUGGAUUACUUCCCUCACCGGAAGUGAAAAGGCGAUUGUGAUGCGGUUAAACGUGCGAUUCCUGUCUAAACCCUCAUAAACAAUUUUAUGAGCCACCUCUACAAUAUAGGAUAACCCGCUGAACUUAAGCAUAUCAUUAAGCGGAGGACAAGAAAACAACUGUGAUUCCCUGAGUAACGGCGAGUGAACAGGGAUCAAGCCUAUGCUUGAAUCUGCGGUGGAAGGAACCGGAAACCGCGGAAUUGUAGUGCAAGGAUCUAGUCUACAUAAUCUUGGCAGUCAGAUGAAACGCGUUGGAAAACGCUACCAUGGAGGGCUAUCGUCCCGUUCCCGUCUGACGCGCCUUGAGACUUCGUUUAGAAGGUGUGGCUAGAACCCAAGAGUCGUGCAGUUUGAGAGUGCUGUACUAAACCGCAGGUGAACUUCUGCGAAGGCUAAAUAUAGCGCCAAGUCCGAUAGCGAACAAGUAGUGUGAACGAAAGAUGAAAAGCACUUUGGAAAGAGAGUGAAAAAGCCUUUGACAUCGUUGGGCGCCAAGGGUAUCGGACCCGUGAUGGAAACAUCCUCUGAACAUUGUUUAGAGGCGUCAGUGUCCACUUUUUGGGUCUGCUCUCAGGAAGUCGCCUUUUGACAUCUUCGGAAGUUAUUAGGGGCCCUUGAAGUAGCUGUACUUGAGAGGUGGGUAAUCGUCUUCGUAUUCUGAAUCACUGGGCUGGUGACCGUUUGCCGAGCAUAAUCUCUCACGGGAGGUUGUCUUUGUAAAUGGGAGAUAAAUAGAAUCAGUCUGCGGUUUAUAAUAUCAGGAGCGAAUCACUGGCACACCAUCUUCGGAUGGUAACACGGUCUUUUACCAACCGUCUUGAAACACGGACCAAGGAGUCUACCGAAUGUGCGAGCGUUUGAGUGAUUGAAACUCUACGACGCGCAAUGAAAGUGAGGACCUGUGAAGAGACUGGUUCAACACCCUCACGGGUGACGGUCUAUCUCCAACAGGGCUCGGUCCUGAUCGUACGUGAAACGGAUCUGAAGCAAAGCACAUUCGCUGGGACCCGAAAGAUAGCGAGCUUUUCCUGGGCCGAAGGAAGCCAGGGGAAACCUUGGUGGACGUUCGAACGCAGUGCUGACGUGCAAAUCGCUUGUCAGAUCUGGGUAAAGGGGCGAAAGACUCAUCGAGCUAUCUAGUAGCUGGUUCCCUC
This 1793-nucleotide unclassified non-coding RNA is filed under the name uncultured fungus. Its description in RNAcentral is "sequence contains 18S rRNA gene, ITS1, 5.8S rRNA gene, ITS2, 28S rRNA gene". The stretch from base 690 to 1793 matches the Rfam family "Eukaryotic large subunit ribosomal RNA", at positions 1 to 961 of the family's 3401-position model. Lineage: Eukaryota; Fungi. The record is from RNAcentral.